GUCCUUGUCGAUUAGUGGUUAGAUCAUCACAUUGUGGAUUGCAUGCCAGGAUCCAAGCAUGCGAUUACAAACCUGUGAAGACGGAGGCUCGAAUCCUCCCUGGGACA
RNAcentral lists this transfer RNA (107 nucleotides) under Cristinia sonorae. It matches the Rfam family "tRNA". Rfam says of the family: Transfer RNA (tRNA) molecules are approximately 80 nucleotides in length. Their secondary structure includes four short double-helical elements and three loops (D, anti-codon, and T loops). Lineage: Eukaryota; Fungi; Basidiomycota; Agaricomycetes; Agaricales; Stephanosporaceae. The record is from Rfam by way of RNAcentral.